RNAcentral lists this ribosomal RNA (164 nucleotides) under uncultured bacterium. RNAcentral's name for it is "partial 16S ribosomal RNA". It matches the Rfam family "Bacterial small subunit ribosomal RNA", at positions 355 to 511 of the family's 1533-position model. The record is from RNAcentral.
UAGGGAAUCUUCCACAAUGGGCGAAAGCCUGAUGGAGCAACGCCGCGUGUGUGAUGAAGGGUUUCGGCUCGUAAAACACUGUUGUAAGAGAAGAAUGACAUUGAGAGUAACUGUUCAAUGUGUGACGGUAUCUUACCAGAAAGGAACGGCUAAAUACGUGCCCG